UAGGGGGCAAGCGUUAUCCGGAUUUACUGGGUGUAAAGGGAGCGUAGACGGCGAUGCAAGCCAGAUGUGAAAGCCCGCGGCUCAACUGCGGGACUGCAUUUGGAACUGUAUGGCUGGAGUGCAGGAGAGGCAGGCGGAAUUCCUAGUGUAGCGGUGAAAUGCGUAGAUAUUAGGAGGAACACCAGUGGCGAAGGCGGCCUGCUGGACUGUAACUGACGUUGAGGCUCGAAAGCGUGGGGAGCAAA
Molecule: ribosomal RNA, 245 nt
Filed under: uncultured bacterium
Lineage: Bacteria
Description: partial 16S ribosomal RNA
Rfam family: Bacterial small subunit ribosomal RNA
Source: RNAcentral